GAUGAACGCUGGCGGCGUGCCUAAUACAUGCAAGUCGAGCGAACAGACGAGGAGCUUGCUCCUCUGACGUUAGCGGCGGACGGGUGAGUAACACGUGGAUAACCUACCUAUAAGACUGGGAUAACUUCGGGAAACCGGAGCUAAUACCGGAUAAUAUAUUGAACCGCAUGGUUCAAUAGUGAAAGACGGUUUUGCUGUCACUUAUAGAUGGAUCCGCGCCGCAUUAGCUAGUUGGUAAGGUAACGGCUUACCAAGGCAACGAUGCGUAGCCGACCUGAGAGGGUGAUCGGCCACACUGGAACUGAGACACGGUCCAGACUCCUACGGGAGGCAGCAGUAGGGAAUCUCCCGCAAUGGGCGAAAGCUUGACGGAGCAACGCCGCGUGAGUGAUGAAGGUCUUCGGAUCUUAAAACCCUGUUAUUAGGGAAGAACAAAUGUGUAAGUAACUAUGCACGUCUUGACGGUACCUAAUCAGAAAGCCACGGCUAACUACGUG
Molecule: ribosomal RNA, 497 nt
Filed under: uncultured bacterium
Lineage: Bacteria
Description: partial 16S ribosomal RNA
Rfam family: Bacterial small subunit ribosomal RNA
Source: RNAcentral